GGUGAACGCUGGCGGCGUGCUUAAGACAUGCAAGUCGAACGGGCUCUUCGGAGCCAGUGGCGCACGGGUGAGUAACGCGUAACUGACCUACCCCAAAGUCGCGGAUAACGAUUCGAAAGAAUCGCUAAUACGUGAUGUGCUGUCAGAUCCUGUUCUGCCAGUAAAGAUUUAUUGCUUUGGGAUGGGGUUGCGUUCCAUCAGCUAGUUGGUGGGGUAAAGGCCCACUAAGGCGACGACGGAUCGCCGGCCUGAGAGGGUGGCCGGCAACAGGGGCACUGAGACACGGGUCCCACUCCUACGGGAGGCAGCAGUUAGGAAUCUUCCACAAUGGGCGAAAGCCUGAUGGAGCGACGCCGCGUGAGGGAUGAAGGUCUUCGGAUCGUAAACCUCGGAAUCAGGGACGAAAGACGCGAAAGCGGGAUGACGGUACCUGAGUAAUAGCACCGGCUAACUCCGUG
RNAcentral lists this ribosomal RNA (458 nucleotides) under uncultured bacterium. RNAcentral describes it as "partial 16S ribosomal RNA". It matches the Rfam family "Bacterial small subunit ribosomal RNA", at positions 28 to 507 of the family's 1533-position model. The record is from RNAcentral.